Syngnathoides biaculeatus (alligator pipefish) is the source of this 136-nucleotide small nucleolar RNA. RefSeq annotates it as small nucleolar RNA SNORA14. The transcript has a single exon. The record is from RefSeq and is a predicted model, not a curated record. NCBI's taxonomy places the organism in Eukaryota, Metazoa, Chordata, Actinopteri, Syngnathiformes, Syngnathidae.
UGGCAUCUUUAAUAAACCCCCCAGUUGCCAUGUGUGGUGUCUGGGACAAGAAAAGAUGCAAGAGCAAUCUUAGAACAUCCAAAACUGAGAGCCAGACAUCUGUUGCUCUUGGUUAUUUCACCUCUAAGACACAAUU